CUAACACAUGCAAGUCGAACGGUAACAGGUCUUCGGAUGCUGACGAGUGGCGCACGGGUGAGUAACGCGUGGAUAUCUGCCUAUUAGUGGGGGACAACUUGUGGAAACGCAAGCUAAUACCGCAUAAUCCCUACGGGGGAAAGCAGGGGACCUUCGGGCCUUGUGCUGAUAGAUGAGUCCGCGUCUGAUUAGCUAGUUGGUAGGGUAAAGGCCUACCAAGGCGAUGAUCAGUAUCUGGUUUGAGAGGAUGAUCAGACACACUGGAACUGAGACACGGUCCAGACUUCUACGGAAGGCAGCAGUGGGGAAUAUUGCACAAUGGGCGCAAGCCUGAUGCAGCGACGCCGCGUGUGGGAAGAAGGCUUUAGGGUUGUAAACCACUUUCAAUUGGGAAGAAGAGAUGAGUGUUAAUAACAUUCUGAUUUGACGGUACCUUUAGAAGAAGCACCGGCUAAUUUCGUGCCAGCAGCCGCGGUAAUACGAAAGGUGCAAGCGUUGUUCGGAUUUACUGGGCGUAAAGAGGGGUGUAGGGUUGUUUAUUAAGUCGGAUGUGAAAUCCC
Molecule: ribosomal RNA, 560 nt
Filed under: uncultured bacterium
Lineage: Bacteria
Description: bacterial SSU rRNA
Rfam family: Bacterial small subunit ribosomal RNA
Source: RNAcentral